This 433-nucleotide ribosomal RNA is filed under the name uncultured bacterium. Its description in RNAcentral is "partial 16S ribosomal RNA". It matches the Rfam family "Bacterial small subunit ribosomal RNA", at positions 29 to 507 of the family's 1533-position model. The record is from RNAcentral.
AACGAACGCUGGCGGCAUGCCUAACACAUGCAAGUCGAACGAGACCUUCGGGUCUAGUGGCGCACGGGUGCGUAACGCGUGGGAACCUGCCCUUAGGUUCGGAAUAACUCCCCGAAAGGGGUGCUAAUACCGGAUAAUGUCUUCGGACCAAAGAUUUAUCGCCUUUGGAUGGGCCCGCGUUGGAUUAGCUAGUUGGUAGGGUAAAAGCCUACCAAGGCGACGAUCCAUAGCUGGUCUGAGAGGAUGAUCAGCCACACUGGGACUGAGACACGGCCCAGACCCCUACGGGAGGGAGCAGGGGGAAAUAUGGGAAAAGGGGAGAGAUUCGAAUCCACAAACGCCGGGGGAGUAAUGAAGCCAUGAGGUUGAAAAAACUUUUUUCCCCGGGAUGAUAAGGACAGUACCGGGAGAAUAAGCCCGGGCUAACUCCGUC